Merluccius polli (Benguela hake) is the source of this 76-nucleotide non-coding RNA. The record is from the annotation of a GenBank genome assembly. Lineage: Eukaryota; Metazoa; Chordata; Actinopteri; Gadiformes; Merlucciidae.
GGGGGUAAGGUAGUCUAGUGGUUAGGGCAUUUGACUCCCAGCCAAAAGGUUCUGGGUUCAAACCCCAAUAUCCACA